RNAcentral lists this ribosomal RNA (301 nucleotides) under uncultured bacterium. Its description in RNAcentral is "partial 16S ribosomal RNA". It matches the Rfam family "Bacterial small subunit ribosomal RNA", at positions 509 to 807 of the family's 1533-position model. The record is from RNAcentral.
CAGUAGCCGCGGUAAUACGAAGGGGGCUAGCGUUGUUCGGAAUUACUGGGCGUAAAGCGCACGUAGGCGGAUUGUUGAGUUAGGGGUGAAAUCCCAGGGCUCAACCCUGGAACUGCCUUUAAUACUGGCAAUCUCGAGUCCGAGAGAGGUGAGUGGAAUUCCGAGUGUAGAGGUGAAAUUCGUAGAUAUUCGGAGGAACACCAGUGGCGAAGGCGGCUCACUGGCUCGGUACUGACGCUGAGGUGCGAAAGCGUGGGGAGCAAACAGGAUUAGAUACCCCUGUAGUCCCUGUCUCUUAUAC